Molecule: long non-coding RNA, 1577 nt
Filed under: Dasypus novemcinctus (nine-banded armadillo)
Lineage: Eukaryota; Metazoa; Chordata; Mammalia; Cingulata; Dasypodidae
Description: lncRNA (ENSDNOG00000050686.1)
Source: RNAcentral
CCCAGGGCGUCUGGGCUGCCCCAGCCGCCGGCGUCAGGACCCGGGCCGGGGCAGCGCGGGACGCAGCGCCCAGCUGGGGGUGUCUGGGGGGGCGGGUUGAAUUGCGACGACGGCCCCCCGGGCCUUCCGUCAAACGCAGGUCUAGGUGCGCGGGUGCAGCCCUCCAGCAGGGGGCUCCGACGCGGGCAAGGUCCCCUGGCCUUGACCUUGGCGAGCCCUUGAACAGCAGGUACCUGCGCGGGCUGGUCGCAGGAAGGGAAGGGACUGGGCGGCGGGGAGCGCCUGCGGGAGCAGAGGGCCCCGGCUGACCCCCGCCCGGGCCAGGGGGCCGGGAGCUGCAUUUGCCUGGCCCGGGCUCCCAGGAGCAGGCGGAACCCCUGCUUCCCAGGAACGCCCUGCGAGGGCCUCGCCUGGCCUUGGCUUCUGAGGGCCAGAGAGAAGCCAGCGAGCUCUGCAGUUAGAGCCCCAUCGUUGUGCCCCGGCGGGCCCUACGGGAAUCCUGCCGGUUUCAUUUGACCUCUGCACGGGAUGGAUGGAAGCCUUGGGUUACGUCCCGUUCUCACGCUGGGUUCACGCCCGGCCACUUUUGUUUGCUUAUAACACACCCUGAGCCCACCAUCCAGAGGAAGCCAAGGUGCCCAGGUGGGAAGUUUUGCCUGGACGAGGGGAGUCUCUUCCCGGCAGUAGGUUUCUCUCCUCCUUGGCCUCCCCAGCUCCACACCAAAAAGAACGUUCUCGGUUACAGCUGCUGUAACAGAUCUGAAGGCGUCUGCCUUAAACCUGGAAACCAGGGAAACAUCUUCUCUAAAGUUUCAAGACUAAAGAGUUGGGAAGCGGACGUGGCUCAACUGAUAGAGCAUCGGCCUACCAUAUGGGAGGUCCAGGGUUCAAACCCCGGGCCUCCUGACCCAUGUGGAGCUGGCCCACGUGCAGUGCUGACGUGCGCAAGGAGUGCCCUGCCACGCAGGGGUGUCCCCCGCGUAGGGGAGCCCCACGCAAAAGGGGUGUGCCCUGCAAGAAGAGCCGCCCCACGUGAAAAAAGUGCAGCCCACCCAGGACUGGCUCAGCACACAGGGAGAGCUGACGCAGCAAGAUGAUGCAGCGACAACAAAAAGAGAUGCAGUAUCCCGGUGCCACCUAUGGUGCAAAUGGACACAGAAGAACACACAACGAGUGGACACAGAGAGUGGACAAUGGGGGUGGGGGAAAAAUAAAUAAAUCUUUAAAAAAAUAAAAAAGACUAAAGACUUUCCUUUAAACAGAAAAAAGCCAGCGGCCUGAGACGGAGAAAAGCAGAGCAGAGGAGGAACUGCUCCCAAUGGCGGGCCUGGCCGGGGGCCCAGAGUGGCCGUGCCCUCGCCCACCUGCCCUGAGCCUCAGCCUCCCAGCUGCCUGCUCUGUGGAUGGCCAGUUCUGAAUUUCCUUUCUGGAAAGUGACGCAUCUGGACAACGCAGCAAACACUCUUUGAUCCAGAUGUCUUUCUCAAAAACUGGGCGGAAGGCACGCCAAGCGUUUAGAAGGGCUGUGCAGACGCUGUGGGCGAGCGGUGGCGGAGCGGCUGGCUGGCGGGGAGGGA